This 249-nucleotide ribosomal RNA is filed under the name Klebsiella quasipneumoniae. Its description in RNAcentral is "partial 23S ribosomal RNA". It matches the Rfam family "Bacterial large subunit ribosomal RNA", at positions 2110 to 2358 of the family's 2925-position model. Lineage: Bacteria; Pseudomonadati; Pseudomonadota; Gammaproteobacteria; Enterobacterales; Enterobacteriaceae. The record is from RNAcentral.
CUUGACACUGAACAUUGAGCCUUGAUGUGUAGGAUAGGUGGGAGGCUUUGAAGCGUGGACGCCAGUCUGCGUGGAGCCAACCUUGAAAUACCACCCUUUAAUGUUUGAUGUUCUAACGUGGGCCCCUAAUCGGGGUUGCGGACAGUGUCUGGUGGGUAGUUUGACUGGGGCGGUCUCCUCCCAAAGCGUAACGGAGGAGCACGAAGGUUAGCUAAUCCUGGUCGGACAUCAGGAGGUUAGUGCAAUGGC